GCUUGUCUCAAAGAUUAAGCCAUGCAUGUCUAAGUAUAAACUGCUUUAUACUGUGAAACUGCGAAUGGCUCAUUAAAUCAGUUAUAGUUUAUUUGAUGGUACCUUACUACUCGGAUAACCGUAGUAAUUCUAGAGCUAAUACGUGCGUAAAUCCCGACUUCUGGAAGGGACGUAUUUAUUAGAUAAAAGGCCGACCGGGCUUGCCCGACUCGCGGUGAAUCAUGAUAACUUCACGAAUCGCAUGGCCUCGUGCCGGCGAUGUUUCAUUCAAAUUUCUGCCCUAUCAACUUUCAACCGUAAGGUAGUGGCCUACGGUGGUGGUAACGGGUGACGGAGGAUUAGGGUUCGAUUCCGGAGAGGGAGCCUGAGAAACGGCUACCACAUCCAAGGAAGGCAGCAGG
This 401-nucleotide ribosomal RNA is filed under the name uncultured Choricystis. RNAcentral describes it as "partial small subunit ribosomal RNA". It matches the Rfam family "Eukaryotic small subunit ribosomal RNA", at positions 30 to 432 of the family's 1831-position model. The record is from RNAcentral. Lineage: Eukaryota; Viridiplantae; Chlorophyta; Trebouxiophyceae.